RNAcentral lists this ribosomal RNA (107 nucleotides) under uncultured bacterium. RNAcentral's name for it is "partial 16S ribosomal RNA". It matches the Rfam family "Bacterial small subunit ribosomal RNA", at positions 1380 to 1482 of the family's 1533-position model. The record is from RNAcentral.
CUUGUACACACCGCCCGUCACACCAUGGGGAGUUGGUUGCACCAGAAGUAGGUAGCCUAACCGCAAGGGGGGGGCGCUUACCACGGUGUGGCUAAUGACUGGGGGUG